GACGAACGCUGGCGGCGUGCCUAACACAUGCAAGUCGAGAGAGUGAAUCUCCUUCGGGAGUGAAGCUAGCGGCGGACGGGUGAGUAACACGUGGGCAACCUGCCUCAUAGAGGGGAAUAGCCUUUCGAAAGGAAGAUUAGUACCGCAUAAGAUUGUAGCUUCGCAUGAAGUAGCAAUUAAAGGAGCAAUCCGCUAUGAGAUGGGCCCGCGGCGCAUUAGCUAGUUGGUGAGGUAACGGCUCAUCAAGGCGACGAUGCGUAGCCGACCUGAGAGGGUGAUCGGCCUAAUUGGGACUGGGACACGGCCCAGACUCCUACGGGAGGCAGCAGUGGGGAAUAUUGCAAAAUGGGGGAAACCCUGAUGCAGCAACGCCGCGUGAGCGAUGACGGCCUUCGGGUUGUAAAGCUCUGUCUUCAGGGACGAUAAUGACGGUACCUGAGGAGGAAGCCACGGCUAACUACGUGCCAGCCGCCGCCGUAA
This 480-nucleotide ribosomal RNA is filed under the name uncultured bacterium. RNAcentral's name for it is "partial 16S ribosomal RNA". It matches the Rfam family "Bacterial small subunit ribosomal RNA", at positions 28 to 523 of the family's 1533-position model. The record is from RNAcentral.